This 838-nucleotide long non-coding RNA is filed under the name Pan troglodytes (chimpanzee). Its description in RNAcentral is "lincRNA". Lineage: Eukaryota; Metazoa; Chordata; Mammalia; Primates; Hominidae. The record is from RNAcentral.
GGAGUGGGAAAGAGGUGGCAUCGGCAGCUCAAGACUGAUUUUUCUAUCUCUUCAGUGCCUCUUUCAACAAUAUGAAGUUCAAACCAGGUUUUGUGCAAAUAUCUGCUGAGUGAACUACUUAUUUGAAAAGACAUCAUUGGUUAAUAUUCCCUUUUGCUCAUUGAAAUCUCAAAGACUACAGACCCCGCACAAGACAUUCUGACAUUCCCGUCUUUGAAAUGAAUGACAGCAAUGAUAAAUAUGGCUCACCUCCAGAGAUACAGAUCUCACAACUUCAUAUUUUUAAUAUAAAUUAUUAAUCUGAGAAGCAGAGAGAGAUAAGACCCAUGAUAAUCAAGCCAUAAACAGAUGCAUUUACUAGCUGAAUGGCCAACAAUGGAAUUCAACAAACCCAUCUUGAGCACGGCAGCCAGGAGUGUGGUGCAAUUCCAUUAGAUGAAAGAGAUCUACACAUUCAGAAGCACAUGAUUCUUCCCCCUUCCAUGAUUCCAGUGGCCAAUAGACAAACUACAAUAAAGCCAUGCCCUGACUGGAUGUGCCUAACAUUUGUCUGGUGCUUAAAGGAGUUGGCUGCAUGCAUGGGAUGGAGAAGGAUUCAACAUUUAAUGGCAGUUAGAAUCAAAUUUUUAACGCAAGAAGGCAGAAGGAAUCCACCGAAAUAAAUGUUGGAAAGUCACCAAAAAUAGUUCUCCAAGUCAGAAGCGGUGCAAAAGCUGCCUCAGCUCUUGGUGGAUUUUCAAUUUCUCCCAGCCAUCUCUGUUUCUCUAAAGGUUUCUGAAGACAGUGGGUAUGUGGCAAAAUUCUGCAAUUCUAUAUUAAGAUAAACUGUUAGAUCAAU